This is a non-coding RNA of Gossypium raimondii (Peruvian cotton), 106 nucleotides long. Lineage: Eukaryota; Viridiplantae; Streptophyta; Magnoliopsida; Malvales; Malvaceae. The record is from Rfam.
AUUCCAUGAUGAGGGCACUUCCGUAAUAAUCUUUGUACCUUUCCCAUGCCUCAUAAAAGGACUCAUCAUCCAUUUGUUGGAAAAAAGUGAUCUCGUUCCUCAACUU